RNAcentral lists this ribosomal RNA (274 nucleotides) under uncultured bacterium. RNAcentral's name for it is "partial 16S ribosomal RNA". It matches the Rfam family "Bacterial small subunit ribosomal RNA", at positions 523 to 796 of the family's 1533-position model. The record is from RNAcentral.
AUACGGAGGGUGCAAGCGUUACUCGGAAUCACUGGGCGUAAAGCGCGCGCAGGCGGCUAUUUAAGUUGGAUGUGAACGCCCACGGCUCAACCGUAGAACUGCAUCCAAAACUAUUUAGCUAGAGUGUGGGAGAGGAAGAUGGAAUUAGUUGUGUAGGGGUAAAAUCCGUAGAGAUAACUAGGAAUACCAAAAGCGAAGGCAAUCUUCUGGAACACUACUGACGCUGAGGCGCGAAAGCGUGGGGAGCAAACGGGAUUAGAAACCCUAGUAGUCC